Molecule: long non-coding RNA, 1261 nt
Filed under: Homo sapiens (human)
Lineage: Eukaryota; Metazoa; Chordata; Mammalia; Primates; Hominidae
Description: long intergenic non-protein coding RNA 1446
Source: RNAcentral
GACAGAAGAUGGCGGAUGAGCAGCGUGCAGGGUUUUCUCCCUGUGGCUCACUCUCUCUUACUGUGCUGGGCGGUUGCUUCCUCUCCUGCUGCCCUUGGGAGUCAGACUCCAGGUUCUUCAGCCUGUGGCCCCUGGGGCUCUCGGGCCUUGGAGGACUGACUAGGAGCACACGGUGGGCCUCUCUGGUUUGGGGGCCUGGGACGUGGCGGAGCCCUGCAGCUUCUGUGCGGCCUGUUCUGGGCGUCGCGUUGAAACGCCAGCCAGUUCCCCAACAGAAAGAGCAUACGGGAGAGAUGAAGCAGUCCACUCCAAGAACAUUCUCAUCCUACGGAUUACGAGUCCCCCUGGGAUUACAGGAGUGUUGAAGAAAUGUUGUGACACAUCAGAACACCGCGAAAUACAUGGACACUUUCAAAUCAUGGAAGACUCAAGCCCACCAGGUAUUUUUGAAAAAAGUACUCUGUGAAAAACAGAAACUGCAAGCAAGACAGAUACCAGGAUUAGGGAUCACGGUGACUUCUACCAUCGCUGGAUACUCCCAAAAGGGUUCUCGAGACAGCAGCUGUGUCUGCCCUGCUUUGGCAUUCUUUCCCAGGCAUGGCGACCGACAAAGAAGACAGAAAAUACUACACACUACCCAGAGAUUGAAACUGAAGGUGUGAACAACAGAGAAAAGAGAGGGCAAAGAAAAGGAAAACAAAGAAGACGUGGGAUAUGAAAGGUGUAUGCCAUGUGUGGACAUCAAGAAAUGUUUCAGCUCGCACUUCUGCCACCAAUUGAGCCUGGAACCUCACUACUUGGAGUUGGGGGGAGGGCAGUGCUCAUUCAUCACCUGUGAAAAUAGGGAUUGAGAGUUCCCUAACUUUGCCAUUUUUCCUCAAGCACUGGCAUUGGUCUUCUGAAUGUCAGGCUCUGUAUAAGUGAGUCCUCAGCUGAGCCACAGGCUCUGCAUUCCUGGCAGUCCACACACUUCAUAUCCUUUGUUUAUGCUGCUCAUUUUGGAAUUCAAACAGGUUGGUGGGGCACAUUUCAACAGAUAAUGACACACACUGACUGCUCAUGAGCUAUUUUAUGGUGUGAGAAUGUUGUGAUGUUAUGAAAUGCGGAGGCAUUAAAACAUGGGGACAUUUUCUAGAAGAUCCUUAGCAGAGAGUACAGAAGACUAAGGUCCAAAUCUCUGAAAUGAUGUUUUCCAAAUUAUUGCACAGCUAUGUCAAAGUACCUUGAUCCAGUUAAUGUUAACAAAUAAAAAAUUAUGAAA